Molecule: long non-coding RNA, 2809 nt
Filed under: Rattus norvegicus (Norway rat)
Lineage: Eukaryota; Metazoa; Chordata; Mammalia; Rodentia; Muridae
Description: long non-coding RNA NONRATT008936
Source: RNAcentral
AUGUGCGGCUGGAUGGAGAGGAUGGGGGGAAAAUGAAAAGGAAGGUGCCAUAUAGAGAGGCAAGGAGAGGUUAUGGGGAAGACACAGGGUGAGGCAAGUCAGACGUGGUUGAGACAGGGCUGGCUGGAGGCUAUGAAGUCAAUGCUGAUACCUGAAAAGAGAUCUGAGCGAGGCUAGAAUAAGUGACUUGGAAAGAAUGGAGGGUAAGGAAGUAAAGGAGAAAUGCUGGGUGAGGGGGCCUGAAUCUAUUAAACCGAUAGUGGGUACAUGAUAGGCAAUGCAAGGGAUUUUUGCAGAGUUGAGGGAGCACAUGGUCUUCACGGAUAUAGAAACAUGUAGCCACCCGAGCCAUCAGGGAGUGACCUCCUCGUCUUGGAGAAGUGGGUACAGAAAGCAGUUUGCUCUCCUGUGAGUUCUAGACCACAUCUAGGGCCGGUGACAGUGCUGUCUGUGCACGGGACUUGGUGUUCCAUGUGCUGUUUGGGCAUGAAGUACUGAAUCCACUUUCAGAAAUGCUCAGCAUAGCUUGGUCUAAAAUGGCCACAGCGAACAUGGGAACGGUAGGUGUAAGUUAGACAACACUAACUUUUGUCGGAUCUUUGAUCGAGCUGUGUGUCAUAUUGGAAACAAGUUCAUCAAUCUGCCACCCCGGCAUCCCACGAGAAAAGCGUGAUGUGGUCCUAGGCCAUAUGUUUUAAGUAAAGAGGAGAUGGGGGGCGUGUCAGGAUGAAGGAAAUGUGGGAAGAUGUUCUAAAGACAUGUACUAGAAAACUGAACAGUGUCAGGUUUCAUCCAGGACAAAAAGAAAAGAAUUGCAACCCACUGGUUUUUGCAACUUUGAUGCUAAGUUGAAUUCUUGGGCCUGCGCUUGCAGUAUAGUCUUUUUGUUUUGUUUUGUUUUGAAGCCUAUGCCCUUGGGCACUAUGUGAGGUAAGCACCUAAUGUUUUUGCAAGAUGCACAUUCUGGUGUACUCUGGGAAAUCCUUUUUGAAGUUUCCUAUUCUGGCAACGGAUGAAUGUCAUUGGUGCUUGGUGAAUUAACUGGGAUCCUGAGUUAAGAAGAAAGGAAACCGGAUAGUUACUCAGGACUUGAGUAGGCUGGCAGGAAAAGACUAGGGAAGGACCAUUUAGUUGUCCCAAGUUUUUCAGAAAUUUUUUAAUUUGCAAUUAUCUGAGACUUGAAAUAAGUUACAAAAGAAUCAGUGCAGAAUAGCCUUAGCCUGAAUCUAGUCCGCCCCCCAACCACUGAAAAUAUUUUAGUCUAUUUUCCUCCACUGAAACCAUGGUCUGUUUUGACCCAUUUUCAAAACUGAACUCUAGGCCUGACUUGGCUUGUGCCAGUUUUCCUACCUUGUACCCAUUUGCUCACUGGCUAUUAUGACCCUUUCUUGGUUUGUAACCUGGCUUUGGUGGCAUACAGGAUAAAGAGUCUGUCUAGGUAUUACUCUACACCUGAGAGAGAACAUCAAACUGAUACAAAUGAGAGAGAACAUCAAACGGACAAGCUCUUUUAUCAGUGAACAAUACUCCACCUUUUUGCUGAAUCCACUUUCAAAUAAAGUUCUUCCUUGCUGGACCCAGAAUGGCCACAGCAUCACAAAGGAGUCACGUGCAGUGUUUAGCUCUCUGUUUGGUAUCCCAAACACUCCAAGAACAACUUAAGAAGAGUAACAUUAUAAAGGGCUUUUAAGUGGAAAGGGAUUCCAAACAGAAGAACAGGACACCUGUUGGUGAGAGGGGUCUAGGAGAAAGCAGUACUUUGGUCAAGAAUUAAAUGGGAUGGAAUGGAAGCACUUAAUGGGGCUGGAAUAAGACACAUACGACACAAAUAUAAACCCCUAAUGUGAGGUUAAAUGCUGUCUUCCGAGUACCAGAGAAACUUCGUUUGCUUAACUGUUUGUCCUUGCUUAGCUGUUAAACUAAAUGCAAGCACAACAGUUUCCUGGGGAACAUUUGAAACUGUAAUCUCCUAGACCUUGGGUUUUCUGUUAGACACUUUUACCCUGACUUUCUUAAGGACUACAGGAAAAUAGCCCUUAAGUCUGUGGCUUAUGAAGUUCCUAGCUCACAAGUGAAUAUUUUGUGAAUUUUAUGUUUUUAAUGAAUAAAGUAUGGAGAAAGUAUGUAUCACUUGUGUUAAUUUGGGGGAGAAGUGCUUUAUAACAUAGAGGGCUUAUUCUCAAUUAAAAAGAGAAAGAAAAAAGUGCCCUCAGGCAGUGUAUACCCUUGUAGUCUUUGUAAGGGAGAGAGAGAGAGAGAGAGAGAGAGAGAGAGAGAGAGAGAGAGAGAGAGAGAGAGAGAGAAGACGACUCUGGCUCCAAACUCAGCCCUCUGAAGAAAGCUAUUUAGUUUCUCCUACAGACACCUUGCCAGUAACCUUACAGGUCUUACAGGAGGGCAGACCUAAGUUCCGAGGCUGAUCUGCAACCACAGCUGUCCAUCAAGAAAACAUUCCUUUCAGUGCAAAAUGGUUCUUUGCUGUUUCUGGAUUCCCUUCUUCUUGCCCCAUGUCCUGUUCCUGAGGAGCUACUUCCUGUAGUAAUACGGUGGACUCUUCUAUGAGGAGACAACCUCUGGGUGUUUUUCAAUAGCCUGUGGUGGGUAAUGUGUUUUGUCAAGGGCUAAAUAGCAGAUGGAUUUAAUUUCUGCUUAAAACGGUCACAGUCAUUCUGAAACGGACACAUAAAAAUCCUCUGUAUUAGAAAACGGAAUGGAGCGCGGUGCCAAUUGUAUUUUUCUUUAUUUAUUCCCUGUAAGUCUGUCAGAUGAUAAAUUGUAAAUACCAGUGAUUAAAGAGUCAUGCUACUGA